GACGAACGCUGGCGGCGUGCCUAAUACAUGCCAGUCGAGCGAAGUUUUUCUGGUGCUUGCACCGGAAAAACUUAGCGGCGAACGGGUGAGUAACACGUAAAGAACCUGCCUCAUAGACUGGGACAACUAUUGGAAACGAUAGCUAAUACCGGAUAACAGCAUUAACUGCAUGGUUGAUGUUUGAAAGUUGGUUUUGCUAACACUAUGAGAUGGCUUUGCGGUGCAUUAGCUAGUUGGUGGGGUAAAGGCCUACCAAGGCGACGAUGCAUAGCCGACCUGAGAGGGUGAUCGGCCACACUGGGACUGAGACACGGCCCAGACUCCUACGGGAGGCAGCAGUAGGGAAUCUUCCGCAAUGGGCGAAAGCCUGACGGAGCAACGCCGCGUGAGUGAAGAAGGAUUUCGGUUCGUAAAGCUCUGUUGUUAGGGAAGAAUGAUUAUGUAGUAACUAUACAUAGUAGAGACGGUACCUAACCAGAAAGCCACGGCUAACUACGUG
RNAcentral lists this ribosomal RNA (499 nucleotides) under uncultured bacterium. RNAcentral describes it as "partial 16S ribosomal RNA". It matches the Rfam family "Bacterial small subunit ribosomal RNA", at positions 28 to 507 of the family's 1533-position model. The record is from RNAcentral.